Long non-coding RNA from Etheostoma spectabile (orangethroat darter), 154 nucleotides. RefSeq lists it as uncharacterized. The transcript has 3 exons. NCBI's taxonomy places the organism in Eukaryota, Metazoa, Chordata, Actinopteri, Perciformes, Percidae. The record is from RefSeq and is a predicted model, not a curated record.
AUCACUCCGCUCAAGUAGCAGUGCUUCGCCUUCUGAGAAUAGUUCCCAGUAUGUAUACAGUUAGAAGAUGGCUGUGUCUCAUGUGACCUUGCUAUUUGUACAUGCUGUGACUAUACAAUGCACAACGUGGAAAUAGGAACAUGUUUUUUGUCAC